RNAcentral lists this non-coding RNA (99 nucleotides) under uncultured Ignatzschineria sp. Its description in RNAcentral is "TPP riboswitch (THI element)". It matches the Rfam family "TPP riboswitch aptamer (THI element)", at positions 6 to 98 of the family's 105-position model. From Rfam's summary of the family: Vitamin B(1) in its active form thiamin pyrophosphate (TPP) is an essential coenzyme that is synthesised by coupling of pyrimidine and thiazole moieties in bacteria. The previously detected thiamin-regulatory element, thi box was extended, resulting in a new, highly conserved RNA secondary structure, the THI element, which is widely distributed in eubacteria and also occurs in some archaea. The record is from RNAcentral. Lineage: Bacteria; Pseudomonadati; Pseudomonadota; Gammaproteobacteria; Cardiobacteriales; Ignatzschineriaceae.
UUCCCCUAGAGGUGCUGUUCAAAACAGCUGAGAUUGAAGUGGAACUUCGGGACUCUUAUGACCUGAUCUAGUUAAUACUAGCGGAGGAAAGUGGCGAAU